CAAAGGCUUCGGCCGGUAAAGGAUGGGGAUGCGUCUGAUUAGCUUGCCGGCGGGGUAACGGCCCACCGGGGCGACGAUCAGUAGGGGUUCUGAGAGGAAGGUCCCCCACAUUGGAACUGAGACACGGUCCAAACUCCUACGGGAGGCAGCAGUGAGGAAUAUUGGUCAAUGGGCGCGAGCCUGAGCCAGCCAAGUAGCGUGCAGGACGACGGCCCUAUGGGUUGUAAACUGCUUUUAUACGGGGAUAAAGUAUGCCACGUGUGGUUUAUUGCAGGUACCGUAUGAAUAAGGACCGGCUAAUUCCGUGCCAGCAGCCGCGGUAAUACGGAAGGUCCGGGCGUUAUCCGGAUUUAUUGGGUUUAAAGGGAGCGUAGGCCGGGUUUUAAGCGUGCCGUGAAAUGUCGGGGCUCAACCUUGACACUGCGGCGCGAACUGGAGUCCUUGAGUGCGCGGAACGUAUGCGGAAUUCGUGGUGUAGCGGUGAAAUGCUUAGAUAUCACGAAGAACCCCGAUUGCGAAGGCAGCAUACGGCAGCGCUACUGACGCUGAAGCUCGAAGGCGCGGGUAUCGAACAGGAUUAGAUACCCUGGUAGUCCGCGCGGUAAACGAUGGAUGCCCGCUGUUGGCGAUAUAUUGUCA
Molecule: ribosomal RNA, 639 nt
Filed under: uncultured bacterium
Lineage: Bacteria
Description: bacterial SSU rRNA
Rfam family: Bacterial small subunit ribosomal RNA
Source: RNAcentral